RNAcentral lists this ribosomal RNA (1439 nucleotides) under uncultured bacterium. Its description in RNAcentral is "bacterial SSU rRNA". It matches the Rfam family "Bacterial small subunit ribosomal RNA". The record is from RNAcentral.
AGAGUUUGAUCAUGGCUCAGAACGUACGCUGGCGGCACGCCUAACACAUGCAAGUCGAACGAAGUAGCAAUACUUAGUGGCAGACGGGUGAGUAACAUGUGGGUAUCUGCCCUUUGGCCUGGAAUAACACGAGGAAACUUGUGCUAAUACCGGAUAAGUCUUUACGGAGAAAGCUUUAUGCACCAUUGGAUGAGCCCGCACUUGAUUAGUUUGUUGGUGGGGUAAUGGCCUACCAAGACUGUGAUCAAUAGCUGAUUUGAGAGGAUGAUCAGCCACAUUGGGACUGAGACACGGCCCAAACUCCUACGGGAGGCAGCAGUGGGGAAUCUUGCACAAUGGAGGAAACUCUGAUGCAGCGAUGCCGCGUGAGUGAAGAAGGCCCUUGGGUUGUAAAGCUCUUUCGUCGGGGAAGAAAAUGACUGUACCCGAAUAAGAAGGUCCGGCUAACUUCGUGCCAGCAGCCGCGGUAAUACGAAGGGACCUAGCGUAGUUCGGAAUUACUGGGCUUAAAGAGUUCGUAGGUGGUUGAAAAAGUUAGUGGUGAAAUCCCAGAGCUUAACUCUGGAACUGCCAUUAAAACUUUUCAGCUAGAGUAUGAUAGAGGAAAGCAGAAUUUCUAGUGUAGAGGUGAAAUUCGUAGAUAUUAGAAAGAAUACCAAUUGCGAAGGCAGCUUUCUGGAUCAUUACUGACACUGAGGAACGAAAGCAUGGGUAGCGAAGAGGAUUAGAUACCCUCGUAGUCCAUGCCGUAAACGAUGUGUGUUAGACGUUGGAAAUUUAUUUUCAGUGUCGCAGCGAAAGCGAUAAACACACCGCCUGGGGAGUACGACCGCAAGGUUAAAACUCAAAUGAAUUGACGGGGACCCGCACAAGUAGUGGAGCAUGUGGUUUAAUUCGAAGAUACGCGCAGAACCUUACCAACACUUGACAUGUUCGUCGCGACUCUAAGAGAUUAGAGUUUUCGGUUCGGCCGGACGAAACACAGGUGCUGCAUGGCUGUCGUCAGCUCGUGUCGUGAGAUGUUGGGUUAAGUCCCGCAACGAGCGCAACCCUCACUUUUAGUUGCCAUCAUUAAGUUGGGCACUCUGAAAGAACUGCCAGUGAUAAGCUGGAGGAAGGUGGGGAUGACGUCAAGUCCUCAUGGCCCUUACGUGUUGGGCUACACACGUGCUACAAUGGUAUCUACAACAGGAAGCAAGACUGCGAGGUCAAGCAAAUCCUUAAAAGAUACCUCAGUUCGGAUUGCACUCUGCAACUCGAGUGCAUGAAGCUGGAAUUACUAGUAAUCGUGGAUCAGCGUGCCACGGUGAAUGCGUUCCCGGGUCUUGUACACACCGCCCGUCACACCAUGGGAGUUGGUUCUACCUUAAGGCAAGGUUUUAAACCCUUGACCACGGUAUAGUCAGCGACUGGGGUGAAGUCGUAACAAGGUAACCGUA